UUUUAAGGGCCGCAUUAUUUYGACUGUGCAAAGGUAGCAUAAUCAUUAGUCUUUUAAUUGAAGGCUGGUAUGAAUGGUUGGAUGAGGUGAAUUCUGUUUUAURUUAAUUUUUAUUGAGUUUAGAUUUUAAGUAAAAAGACUUAAAUGUUAUUAAGGGACGAGAAGACCCUAUAGAGUUUCAUGUCUGUAGUAAUUAAUUGAGUUAAAUCUUAAUUUUUGAUCAUUAUGAAAUUUAUUUAUUUGGGGUGAUUGGAAGAUAAAAUUAACUCUUCUUUGUAUUUAAUAUAGUAAUUAGUUAUAUAAACCAUGUUUAAUGAUUAAAAGAUUAAAUUACCUAAGGGAUAASAGCAUAAUUCUUUUUGAGAGUUCAUAUCGAAAAAAGARAUUGUGACCUCGAUGUUGGAUUAAGAUUAGUUUUGGGUGCAGAUGUUCAAGAGCU
RNAcentral lists this ribosomal RNA (439 nucleotides) under Sphodromantis lineola. Its description in RNAcentral is "partial 16S ribosomal RNA". The record is from RNAcentral. Lineage: Eukaryota; Metazoa; Arthropoda; Insecta; Mantodea; Mantidae.